GGAGGAAGUGACCAAGGUGAUUAGUUCCAACACUAAGUUCAAACCCUUCAGCAGUGAAAGUUGGUUCCUUUGCAGUCGGCAAGUAGACAGCAGCAUUGCAUACAAGCACAUCAAGAGGCAUGCCCGAGCGGCGGAAGCUAUCAACAAAUUGCCUUACACUGUCAAGUGAGGCAAGGUCUAGAUGCAUAACAGUAUAGUUUUCCUUAGCUAUGCCUGCUGAUUUUG
RNAcentral lists this unclassified non-coding RNA (225 nucleotides) under Hevea brasiliensis (rubber tree). The record is from RNAcentral. Lineage: Eukaryota; Viridiplantae; Streptophyta; Magnoliopsida; Malpighiales; Euphorbiaceae.